CGAGUUCAUUUCCUUAGCCGAAAGGUUUGGGUAAUCUUGUUAAACUCUGUCGUGCUGGGGAUAGAGCAUUGCAAUUAUUGCUCUUCAACGAGGAAUGCCUAGUAAGCGCAUGUCAUCAGCAUGCGUUGAUUACGUCCCUGCCCUUUGUACACACCGCCCGUCGCUACUACCGAUUGAAUGGCUCGGUGAGGCCUUCGGACUGGCCCAGGGAGGUCGGCAACGACCACCCAGGGCCGGAAAGUUGGUCAAACCCGGUCAUUUAGAGGAAGUAAAAGUCGUAACAAGGUCUCCGUAGGUGAACCUGCGGAGGGAUCAUU
RNAcentral lists this ribosomal RNA (317 nucleotides) under Cladosporium sp. Its description in RNAcentral is "SSU rRNA". It matches the Rfam family "Eukaryotic small subunit ribosomal RNA", at positions 1516 to 1830 of the family's 1831-position model. Lineage: Eukaryota; Fungi; Ascomycota; Dothideomycetes; Cladosporiales; Cladosporiaceae. The record is from RNAcentral.